AUUGAACGCUGGCGGCAUGGCUAAAGCAUGCAAGUCGUACGAGACCCUCGCAAGAGGGAAAAGUGGCGGAAGGGCGAGUAAUGCGCUCCUACGUGCCCCAAGGUGGGGGAUAGGUCGGGGAAACCCGGCGUAAUACCCCAUGUGCUCUUCGGAGGAAAGCUUUUGCGCCUCGGGAGCGGGGAGCGUCCUAUCAGGUAGUUGGCGGGGUAACGGCCCACCAAGCCAAUGACGGGUAGCGGGUGUGAGAGCACGACCCGCCGCAUCGGGACUGAGACACUGCCCGGACUCCUACGGGAGGCUGCAGCGACGAAUAUUCCGCAAUGC
RNAcentral lists this ribosomal RNA (324 nucleotides) under uncultured bacterium. RNAcentral describes it as "bacterial SSU rRNA". It matches the Rfam family "Bacterial small subunit ribosomal RNA", at positions 28 to 374 of the family's 1533-position model. The record is from RNAcentral.